Molecule: long non-coding RNA, 295 nt
Organism: Miniopterus natalensis
Lineage: Eukaryota; Metazoa; Chordata; Mammalia; Chiroptera; Miniopteridae
Source: RefSeq, a predicted model, not a curated record
CUGCAUAGUCCUGUGGUGGCACCACCCUUGGGUCAAAGUCAGAAGGAAAAAGAGGAAACACCAGGAAUCUUCCCUCACCGAUACGGAUCAUUCUCUAUAAGUGUUAUUUUAAAUUAUUUUAUUAUAAAAAUAAAAUGUACUGAAUGGUUAAAAACUCCAACGACAUGGAGAGCACAAAAACAAAUGGAGAAGAAAUUAAAGAGACGCCAGUAAUCAGACUUCCCAGAGCCAAGUGAGCUGCCAGGCGAGCUACAUCAGCCAGGAGAGCCACACCAUCCAGAACAGGGGCUACGUG